CUUCUUCCUCCUCUCUCACUCUCUCUCAGGCCAUCCUCUCCCGCUCCUCCAUCCCCCGCCAUGGCUCCGCCCAGCAGCUCCACCCGCCCUCCGUCUCCAUUCCCUCCUUCUCCGGCCUCAAAGCCGCCUCCUCCUCCUCCGCGGCCGCCUCCCUCUCCCGCCGCCGCGCCGCCGCCGUGGUCCGCCACCCCGUGACAGCCUCCGCCGCCGUCGAGACCCUCGAGAAGACCACCGAAACCGAGCUCGUGGAGAAGUCCGUCAACACUAUCCGGUUCCUGGCCAUCGACGCCGUGGAGAAGGCCAAUUCCGGCCACCCCGGUUUGCCCAUGGGGUGCGCUCCGAUG
Molecule: long non-coding RNA, 344 nt
Filed under: Salvia miltiorrhiza (redroot sage)
Lineage: Eukaryota; Viridiplantae; Streptophyta; Magnoliopsida; Lamiales; Lamiaceae
Description: long non-coding RNA (SMIL_LNC000735)
Source: RNAcentral